Molecule: long non-coding RNA, 269 nt
Organism: Mobula hypostoma (lesser devil ray)
Lineage: Eukaryota; Metazoa; Chordata; Chondrichthyes; Myliobatiformes; Myliobatidae
Exons: 3
Source: RefSeq, a predicted model, not a curated record
AUCUUGGCAUUCCCAGUGCGACAGCUCUGUGAGAGAUCUUCACCUGAAGUACUGCAAUGGCUCGAGAAGUUAGCUCACUACCAUUUUUCAAUGACAAGAACAUUCAGUCAGUAGCAUGCAUUGGAGAGAGCACCCUGCCAUUUAACUGGACGAUACAACAUAGAUGGUGUCACUGGAAAAUGGCCUAAUCAGUCCCAGGAUCCACCAAUAACGUGAAAGGAGGAUGAUUUGCAGUUUGACUGGCUGAAAAAUGAAUACUCCUUCCCAUU